RNAcentral lists this ribosomal RNA (320 nucleotides) under uncultured bacterium. Its description in RNAcentral is "bacterial SSU rRNA". It matches the Rfam family "Bacterial small subunit ribosomal RNA", at positions 30 to 354 of the family's 1533-position model. The record is from RNAcentral.
AUUGAACGCUGGCGGAAUGCUUUACACAUGCAAGUCGAACGGUAGAGGGGGCAACCCCUUGAGAGUGGCGAACGGGUGAGUAAUAUAUCGGAACGUGCCCAGUCGUGGGGAUAACGUAGCGAAAGUUACGCUAAUACCGCAUACGAUCUAAGGAUGAAAGCGGGGGAUCGCAAGACCUCGCGCGAUUGGAGCGGCCGAUAUCAGAUUAGGUAGUUGGUGGGGGUAAAGGCUCACCAAGCCAACGAUCUGUAGCUGGUCUGAGAGGACGACCAGCCACACUGGGACUGAGACACGGCCCAGACUCCUACGGGAGGCAGCAG